AUAAAGAUUUAUUUGACCAUGUACAAAAAUCUUUCAUAUCCAGAUAGUCAACAAAUAUUUGACAAAUUGAGAAAUGCCAGUUUUAAAUACAUGCAUAGAUUAUGGUGGCAGAAUAUAUUUAAAAAAUUGACACUCAUGAAUUUCUGAACAAUUAUUAAUCUAAUUAGUAAAACUAAUUUUCACCACAAUCCAAGUAGAUUGUGUACAAAAUAAACAACUCACUACAUUUGCAAUCCACCAUCAUUCUUCUCAAAUUAUCUCAUGAUAACUCAGAUACAAUCUAAUAGAAAAGGUACAUCUCAUUUUCUACCACAUGAAGUAUUUUAAAGUGCUAUUUUGUCCAUUUCGUGUAUAUAUGUAUGGCAUAUCAUGGACAAUUAGACAUGUAGGGUCUUAUUCCAAAUAACUGCUUUAAUUUGUUUAGUAGUGACUAUAUUUAUAAAGUCUAAUUUUACAUUUAUUAUAUAAGGGAAAUUUUUAUUUUUAAUUAGCAUAUAUUAAAUGUACAUAUUUAUGGGGUACAGUGUGAUACUUCAAUGCACUUUACAACAUGUACUGAUUAAAUUAGAGUAAUUUGUAUUUCUAUCUCCUCAUCUUUUCUUUAUAUUUGUUAUGAGCAUUUUUAUUGUCUGAGCAAAGAAGAAAAUGCAUCCUUUUUGGGAGCAAAUGAACCACCAGCUUGAAAGGAAAUAUUUGAUCAAGGUAUUGAUGCACAGCCAGAGGAAUGCAUCAAAACAAUAACUCUAAUUCCUAUUAUGGCUGUUAAUUAAUGGAUGAGAAAGGAAGAGAGAAAAAGGAAAAGGGAGGAGGAGGAAGAAAUAAAUUAACAAGAGGAAAAAGAAGAAGGGCAUUGGCAAGAGUGACAGAAUAAAUUAAAAUAUCCAUAAUGCAAAGGUUACUGUAUGGACAUGAGAAAAUGGCUCCAAGGAAAGGCUCCUGGGCAACAAUGAUGCAGUUCUGCAUACCACACUUUGAGUAGCAAGGUAAUAAAAGUUGCAGAAAAUGUUGGACAUUUUCACUAAAUCAUGAAAUAAAAAAGAAGUCACCUUCCUUGAGUGCUUGGUAAUGGACUGGAGAGUGUCCCUGUGAUUUCACAUUCCUACACUGACCCCUGUUAUAUCAGUUAUAACACAAUAUUGGAAUUUGCUGUUCAACGGUG
This 1159-nucleotide long non-coding RNA is filed under the name Heterocephalus glaber (naked mole-rat). Its description in RNAcentral is "lncRNA (ENSHGLG00100033132.1)". The record is from RNAcentral. Lineage: Eukaryota; Metazoa; Chordata; Mammalia; Rodentia; Bathyergidae.